This 499-nucleotide ribosomal RNA is filed under the name uncultured bacterium. Its description in RNAcentral is "bacterial SSU rRNA". It matches the Rfam family "Bacterial small subunit ribosomal RNA", at positions 15 to 507 of the family's 1533-position model. The record is from RNAcentral.
GAUCCUGGCUCAGGAUGAACGCUAGCUACAGGCUUAACACAUGCAAGUCGAGGGCAGCAUGUCGGUUGCUUGCAACCGAUGAUGGCGACCGGCGCACGGGUGAGUAACGCGUAUCCAACCUACCCUUGUCCAUCGGAUAACCCGUCGAAAGGCGGCCUAACACGAUAUGCGGUUCACCGCAGGCAUCUAACGUGAACGAAAUGUGAAGGAGAAGGAUGGGGAUGCGUCUGAUUAGCUUGUUGGCGGGGUAACGGCCCACCAAGGCGACGAUCAGUAGGGGUUCUGAGAGGAAGGUCCCCCACAUUGGAACUGAGACACGGUCCAAACUCCUACGGGAGGCAGCAGUGAGGAAUAUUGGUCAAUGGGCGAGAGCCUGAACCAGCCAAGUAGCGUGCAGGACGACGGCCCUAUGGGUUGUAAACUGCUUUUAUAAGGGAAUAAAGUGAGCUACGUGUAGCUUUUGCAUGUACCUUAUGAAUAAGGACCGGCUAAUUCCGUG